RNAcentral lists this ribosomal RNA (445 nucleotides) under uncultured bacterium. RNAcentral describes it as "partial 16S ribosomal RNA". It matches the Rfam family "Bacterial small subunit ribosomal RNA", at positions 354 to 796 of the family's 1533-position model. The record is from RNAcentral.
GUGAGGAAUAUUGCGCAAUGGAGGCAACUCUGACGCAGCCAUGCCGCGUGCAGGAAGAAGGCGCUACGCGUUGUAAACUGCUUUUAACCGGGAAGAAACCCCAGGACGUGUCCUGGGUUGACGGUACCGGAGGAAUAAGCACCGGCUAACUUCGUGCCAGCAGCCGCGGUAAUACGAAGGGUGCAAGCGUUAUCCGGAUUCAUUGGGUUUAAAGGGUGCGUAGGCGGAUCUUUAAGUCAGUGGUGAAAUCCUGCAGCUUAACUGUAGACUUGCCAUUGAUACUGGCGCUCUUGAGUGCGCUUGAAGUGGGCGGAAUGUGCCGUGUAGCGGUGAAAUGCUUAGAUAUGGCACAGAACACCAAUUGCGAAGGCAGCUCACUAAGGCGAUACUGACGCUGAGGCACGAAAGCGUGGGGAUCGAACAGGAUUAGAUACCCCUGUAGUCC